Molecule: ribosomal RNA, 253 nt
Filed under: uncultured bacterium
Lineage: Bacteria
Description: partial 16S ribosomal RNA
Rfam family: Bacterial small subunit ribosomal RNA
Source: RNAcentral
UACAGAGGUCUCAAGCGUUGUUCGGAUUCAUUGGGCGUACAGGGUGCGUAGGCGGCGCGGUAAGUCGGGUGUGAAAUUUCGAGGCUUAACUUCGAAACUGCAUUCGAUACUGCCGUGCUUGAGGACUGGAGAGGAGACUGGAAUUUACGGUGUAGCGGUGAAAUGCGUAGAUAUCGUAAGGAAGACCAGUGGCGAAGGCGGGUCUCUGGACAGUUCCUGACGCUGAGGCACGAAGGCCAGGGGAGCAAACGGG